CUGGACACACGGAGCAUGUUUGACGAGUUCUUCUCCCCCGGCUGGUGCGAUGACGCUUGUCAUGUUUCAGGUACGCACCCUAGGCCUCCGCUUCCAGCGCACUCCAGCAACGUCCCUUCGCCCAGCAGUGUCCCGGACCGUUGACGUUCAGUGCUUGUCGUCCCGUGGCUGACCGCCUGUGCACUUCUCCUCCAGCUACCCAGCUACUGGUUUCCUGGCAAGUAAAGAAUCCUGGACGACCCGCCCUGCAGUACGUCGACUGCGUGUAGUCUGCAACCCUUGUCUUGACAUCCGCCGCCCCUCAAGAUUUGUUCCGCCUGCGUAGUAGGCCAUGACGUCCAGUGCUCACCGUAGUGUGGCAAGCCUUGCUCACGAGAUAGUUCGUCACAUUGAUACGCCCGCUGACGUUGAGCUGCAGGAAAAGUCCCUCUCUGCCUGCUCCGUGCUGCCUCGAUGACGCUGCACAACUACGGAUUCGUGACGCGAACAUCGAUCACGACGUCCUUGUGGUAGUUCUUUCCGCCCGGUAGCUGUAUCAUGGCCGUUCGAUACAGACUCGUAUUGAGGGUCCCUGACUGUUUGACGAGCGGACCGAAACAAUUCCAGGUGACAUGCUGGCUCAUCUGUGGUACACUGCUCAGUCAGUAUGGAGGUUGGUGCGCGUUAAUUCACAUCCUGUGCUCUCGUAAUGGUACGCUGAUGCUGGUUCGUAUUGUGAAGUGCCGCGCGCGUAUGAGCAUGGAUGUGUGUGUGUGUGUGUGUGUGUGUGUGUGUGUGUGUGUGUGUCCUGUAUGUUGUCUAUUGCACGCGCGUGCGACUUCGAUCACUUCAUCUGGUUGUUGUCAUAUCUUUAGCUGGGUGCGUCCUCACUACUUCCAUGGAAUUCUUGGUGGAUGGCCUCGUCUUAUCUGUGAAUUCAGAAAGCUCGUUGAUGGUUCCGCAGUGACGGUUGCCAAUCUUUUCCAAAAUCCUUCCAACUUUGGCUCUGGGCGUUCCCCUUAAUUGAAGGGCGUCCAGUGGUCUAUUUGUCGGUGGCCCUUGCCUCGUCAGCUUUUACAAUCGAAGGGGUCUCUGUUGGCAUAUCUUCCUUGUAUUCAUCAUUAUUCAUCAUGGCUAAUGCGAAGCAUCAGCGUACCGUUACAAAAGGCAUAUGGCAUGAAUUAAAGGCAAUACAACAUUUCCAUUAGCUUGUGAGCAUCAUGCAUAUCAGCUUAUCCUUUGAAAUGUAGUGGUGGCAUGGCACAAAGAUUAUUUUUAAAAACCUGUCUACAGUCAUUCUUCAUGUUAGCGGUAAAGCGGAGUACCACUACAUUGCCAAGCAAAGCAGACGCUGAACCUCCCUUCAGCAAGAUUGGACAUUGAUCGGACGCCACCACCGCACGUGCCUGCGAUGUUAAGUCUUGAUCACCGUUUCAUCACCGUUACUUUUGUACUUCACUUUUCACUGCCCUGUGUAUAUUUCGCUGCUUGCAUCCUCUUGUACUUUUCUAUAACAUUUACUUGCUGUAUAUACAAUGUUCACUGGAACUUAAUAAAAUGACGAAGGUGUUCUUUUCCAUUGGGAAUAUUUCCCCUGUGUGGAUAACAUUGUACAGUUGUAAACAUUGACUUUUUUUGUAGUACAUAUUCUUGUCAACUCGGCGUGCACUGGAGUU
This is a long non-coding RNA of Dermacentor andersoni, 1655 nucleotides long. RefSeq lists it as uncharacterized. Lineage: Eukaryota; Metazoa; Arthropoda; Arachnida; Ixodida; Ixodidae. The record is from RefSeq and is a predicted model, not a curated record.